Molecule: ribosomal RNA, 431 nt
Filed under: uncultured bacterium
Lineage: Bacteria
Description: partial 16S ribosomal RNA
Rfam family: Bacterial small subunit ribosomal RNA
Source: RNAcentral
AACGAACGCUGGCGGCAGGCCUAACACAUGCAAGUCGAGCGCCCCGCAAGGGGAGCGGCGGACGGGUGAGUAACGCGUGGGAAUAUGCCCUUUGCUACGGAAUAGUCUCGGGAAACUGGGGGUAAUACCGUAUACGCCCUUUGGGGGAAAGAUUUAUCGGCGAAGGAUUAGCCCGCGUUGGAUUAGGUAGUUGGUGGGGUAAUGGCCUACCAAGCCGACGAUCCAUAGCUGGUUUGAGAGGAUGAUCAGCCACACUGGGACUGAGACACGGCCCAGACUCCUACGGGAGGCAGCAGGGGGGAAUCUUAGACAAUGGGGGCAACCCUGAUCUAGCCAUGCCGCGUGAGUGAUGAAGGCCUUAGGGUUGUAAAGCUCUUUCAGCUGGGAAGAUAAUGACGGUACCAGCAGAAGAAGCCCCGGCUAACUCCGUG